This 434-nucleotide ribosomal RNA is filed under the name uncultured bacterium. RNAcentral describes it as "partial 16S ribosomal RNA". It matches the Rfam family "Bacterial small subunit ribosomal RNA", at positions 29 to 507 of the family's 1533-position model. The record is from RNAcentral.
AGCGAACGCUGGCGGCAGGCCUAACACAUGCAAGUCGAACGAACCUUUCGGGGUUAGUGGCGGACGGGUGAGUAACACGUGGGAACGUGCCUUUAGGUUCGGAAUAACUCAGGGAAACUUGUGCUAAUACCGAAUGUGCCCUUCGGGGGAAAGAUUAAUCGCCUUUAGAGCGGCCCGCGUCUGAUUAGCUAGUUGGUUGAUGUAAUGGCUCACCAAGGCGACGAUCAGUAGCUGGUCUGAGAGGAUGAUCAGCCACAUUGGGACUGAGACACGGCCCAAACUCCUACGGGAGGCAGCAGUGGGGAAUCUUGCGCAAUGGGCGAAAGCCUGACGCAGCCAUGCCGCGUGAAUGAUGAAGGUCUUAGGAUUGUAAAAUUCUUUCACCGGGGACGAUAAUGACGGUACCCGGAGAAGAAGCCCCGGCUAACUUCGUG